This is a small nuclear RNA of Ruditapes philippinarum (Manila clam), 140 nucleotides long. RefSeq annotates it as U4 spliceosomal RNA. The record is from RefSeq and is a predicted model, not a curated record. The transcript has a single exon. Lineage: Eukaryota; Metazoa; Mollusca; Bivalvia; Venerida; Veneridae.
AACUUUGCGCAGUGGCGUUAUAUAGCCAAAAAGGUUUAUCCGAGUUUUUGUUAUUGCUAGUUGAAAACUAUACCCUAUACCCCGCGCCAACGCCCUGAAACAUGGGCGACGAGCGCAAUUUAGGAACUUUCCUACGGGAA